GGGUUGUGAGGUUAAGUGACUAAGCGUACACGGUGGAUGCCUAGGCAGUCAGAGGCGAUGAAGGGCGUGCUAAUCUGCGAAAAGCGUCGGUAAGGUGAUAUGAACCGUUACAACCGGCGAUACCCGAAUGGGGAAACCCAGUGUGUUUCGACACACUAUCAUGUCAUGAAUACAUAGUGGCAUGAGGCGAACCGGGGGAACUGAAACAUCUAAGUACCCCGAGGAAAAGAAAUCAACCGAGAUUCCCCAGUAGCGGCGAGCGAACGGGGAGGAGCCCAGAACCUGAAUCGGCUUGUGUGUUAGUGGAAGCGUCUGGAAAGUCGCGCAGUAAAGGGUGAUAGCCCCGUACACUAAAAUGCACAGGUCGUGAGUUCGAUGAGUAGGGCGGGACACGUGACAUCCUGUCUGAAUAUGGGGGACCAUCCUCCAAGGCUAAAUACUCCUGACUGACCGAUAGUGAACCAGUACCGUGAGGGAAAGGCGAAAAGAACCCCGGCGAGGGGAGUGAAAUAGAACCUGAAACCGUGUACGUACAAGCAGUGGGAGCACCUUCGUGGUGUGACUGCGUACCUUUUGUAUAAUGGGUCAGCGACUUAUAUUUUGUAGCAAGGUUAACCGUAUAGGGGAGCCGUAGGGAAACCGAGUCUUAACUGGGCGAUUAGUUGCAAGGUAUAGACCCGAAACCCGGUGAUCUAGCCAUGGGCAGGUUGAAGGUUGGGUAACACUAACUGGAGGACCGAACCGACUAAUGUUGAAAAAUUAGCGGAUGACUUGUGGCUGGGGGUGAAAGGCCAAUCAAACCGGGAGAUAGCUGGUUCUCCCCGAAAGCUAUUUAGGUAGCGCCUCGUGAACUCAUCUUCGGGGGUAGAGCACUGUUUCGGCUAGGGGGCCAUCCCGGCUUACCAAACCGAUGCAAACUCCGAAUACCGAAGAAUGUUAUCACGGGAGACACACGGCGGGUGCUAACGUCCGUCGUGAAGAGGGAAACAACCCAGACCGCCAGCUAAGGUCCCAAAGUCAUGGUUAAGUGGGAAACGAUGUGGGAAGGCAUAGACAGCCAGGAUGUUGGCUUAGAAGCAGCCAUCAUUUAAAGAAAGCGUAAUAGCUCACUGGUCGAGUCGGCCUGCGCGGAAGAUGUAACGGGGCUAAACCAUGCACCGAAGCUGCGGCAGCGACGCUUAGGCGUUGUUGGGUAGGGGAGCGUUCUGUAAGCCGUUGAAGGUGGCCUGUGAGGGUUGCUGGAGGUAUCAGAAGUGCGAAUGCUGACAUAAGUAACGAUAAAGCGGGUGAAAAGCCCGCUCGCCGGAAGACCAAGGGUUCCUGUCCAACGUUAAUCGGGGCAGGGUGAGUCGACCCCUAAGGCGAGGCUGAAAAGCGUAGUCGAUGGGAAACAGGUUAAUAUUCCUGUACUUGGUGUUACUGCGAAGGGGGGACGGAGAAGGCUAGGCUGGCCGGGCGACGGUUGUCCCGGUUUAAGCGUGUAGGGGGUGUGACCUGGUAAAUCCGGUUGCAUACUAACCCUGAGGCGUGAUGACGAUGCACUACGGUGCAGAAGUAGUUGAUGCCCUGCUUCCAGGAAAAUCCUCUAAGCUCCAGGUAACAUUAAAUCGUACCCCAAACCGACACAGGUGGUCAGGUAGAGAAUACCAAGGCGCUUGAGAGAACUCGGGUGAAGGAACUAGGCAAAAUGGUGCCGUAACUUCGGGAGAAGGCACGCUGGCAUGUAGGUGAAGUCCCUCGCGGAUGGAGCUGAAGCCAGUCGAAGAUACCAGCUGGCUGCAACUGUUUAAUAAAAACACAGCACUGUGCAAACACGAAAGUGGACGUAUACGGUGUGACGCCUGCCCGGUGCUGGAAGGUUAAUUGAUGGGGUCAGCCGCAAGGCGAAGCUCUUGAUCGAAGCCCCAGUAAACGGCGGCCGUAACUAUAACGGUCCUAAGGUAGCGAAAUUCCUUGUCGGGUAAGUUCCGACCUGCACGAAUGGCGUAAUGAUGGCCAGGCUGUCUCCACCCGAGACUCAGUGAAAUUGAACUCGCUGUGAAGAUGCAGUGUACCCGCGGCAAGACGGAAAGACCCCGUGAACCUUUACUAUAGCUUGACACUGAACAUUGAGCCUUGAUGUGUAGGAUAGGUGGGAGGCUUUGAAGCGUGGACGCCAGUCUGCGUGGAGCCAUCCUUGAAAUACCACCCUUUAAUGUUUGAUGUUCUAACUCGGCCCCAUAAUCUGGGGUGAGGACAGUGUCUGGUGGGUAGUUUGACUGGGGCGGUCUCCUCCCAAAGAGUAACGGAGGAGCACGAAGGUUAGCUAAUCACGGUCGGACAUCGUGAGGUUAGUGCAAAGGCAUAAGCUAGCUUGACUGCGAGAGUGACGGCUCGAGCAGGUACGAAAGUAGGUCUUAGUGAUCCGGUGGUUCUGAAUGGAAGGGCCAUCGCUCAACGGAUAAAAGGUACUCCGGGGAUAACAGGCUGAUACCGCCCAAGAGUUCAUAUCGACGGCGGUGUUUGGCACCUCGAUGUCGGCUCAUCACAUCCUGGGGCUGAAGUAGGUCCCAAGGGUAUGGCUGUUCGCCAUUUAAAGUGGUACGCGAGCUGGGUUUAGAACGUCGUGAGACAGUUCGGUCCCUAUCUGCCGUGGGCGUUGGAAGAUUGAGAGGGGUUGCUCCUAGUACGAGAGGACCGGAGUGAACGCACCACUGGUGUUCGGGUUGUCAUGCCAAUGGCAUUGCCCGGUAGCUAAGUGCGGAAAAGAUAAGCGCUGAAAGCAUCUAAGCGCGAAACUUGCCUCAAGAUGAGUCUUCCCUGGGCCUUCAAGGCCCCUGAAGGAACGUUUAAGACUAAGACGUUGAUAGGCUGGGUGUGUAAGUGCAGCGAUGCAUUGAGCUAACCAGUACUAAUGAUCCGUGAGGCUUAACCUUACAACACCGAAGGUGUUU
RNAcentral lists this ribosomal RNA (2933 nucleotides) under Serratia ureilytica. Its description in RNAcentral is "bacterial LSU rRNA". It matches the Rfam family "Bacterial large subunit ribosomal RNA". The record is from RNAcentral. Lineage: Bacteria; Pseudomonadati; Pseudomonadota; Gammaproteobacteria; Enterobacterales; Yersiniaceae.